Molecule: ribosomal RNA, 369 nt
Filed under: uncultured Alphaproteobacteria bacterium
Lineage: Bacteria; Pseudomonadati; Pseudomonadota; Alphaproteobacteria
Description: bacterial SSU rRNA
Rfam family: Bacterial small subunit ribosomal RNA
Source: RNAcentral
GAGUUUGAUCGUGGCUCAGAACGUACGCUGGCGGCACGCCUAACACAUGCAAGUCGAACGCAGUAGCAAUACUGAGUGGCAAACGGGUGAGUAUAAUGUGGGAAUCUGCCUUUUGGUUUGGAAUAACACGGGGAAACUUGUGCUAAUACCGAAUAAGCCCUUACGGGGAAAGUUUAAUGCCGAAAGAUGAGCCCGCACUUGAUUAGCUAGUUGGUAAGGUAAAAGCUUACCAAGGCAACGAUCAAUAGCUGUUCUUAGAGGAAGACCAGCCACAUUGGGACUGAGACACGGCCCAGACUCCUACGGGAGGCAGCAGUGGGGAAUCUUGCACAAUGGGGGAAACCCUGAUGCAGCGAUGCCGCGUGAGUG